This 508-nucleotide ribosomal RNA is filed under the name uncultured bacterium. RNAcentral's name for it is "bacterial SSU rRNA". It matches the Rfam family "Bacterial small subunit ribosomal RNA", at positions 21 to 518 of the family's 1533-position model. The record is from RNAcentral.
GGCUCAGGAUGAACGCUAGCUACAGGCUUAACACAUGCAAGUCGAGGGGCAGCAUGAGAUUAGCUUGCUAAUCUUGAUGGCGACCGGCGCACGGGUGAGUAACGCGUAUCCAACCUUCCCCCUACUCAGGCAUAGCCCGGUGAAAACCGGAUUAACUCCUGAUAGUUUCACUAGAUGGCAUCUGACGGUGAAUAAAGCUCAGCGGUAAGGGAUGGGGAUGCGUCUGAUUAGCUUGUUGGCGGGGUAACGGCCCACCAAGGCUACGAUCAGUAGGGGUUCUGAGAGGAAGGUCCCCCACAUUGGAACUGAGACACGGUCCAAACUCCUACGGGAGGCAGCAGUGAGGAAUAUUGGUCAAUGGGCGCGAGCCUGAACCAGCCAAGUAGCGUGCCAGGAAGACGGCCCUAUGGGUUGUAAACUGCUUUUGUGCGGGAAUAAAGUCAGGGACGUGUCCCUGUUUGCAUGUACCGCAAGAAUAAGGACCGGCUAAUUCCGUGCCAGCCGCAGC